Molecule: ribosomal RNA, 465 nt
Filed under: uncultured bacterium
Lineage: Bacteria
Description: partial 16S ribosomal RNA
Rfam family: Bacterial small subunit ribosomal RNA
Source: RNAcentral
CCUACGGGAGGCAGCAGUGGGGAAUAUUGCACAAUGGGCGCAAGCCUGAUGCAGCCAUGCCGCGUGUAUGAAGAAGGCCUUAUGGUUUUAAAGUACUUUCAGCGGGGAGGAAGGGAGUAAAGCUAAUACCUUUGCUCAUAGACGUUACCCGCAGAAGAUGCACCGGCUAACUCCGUGCCAGCAGCCGCGGACAUACGGAGGGUGCAAGCGUUAAUCGGAAUUACUGGGGGUAAAGCGGACGCAGGCGGGUUGUUAAGCCAGAUGGGAAAUCCCCGGGCUCAACCUGGGAACUGCAUUUGAUACUGGCAGGCUUGAGUGUCGGAGAGGUAGGUGGAAUGCGAGGUGUAGCGGUGAAAUGCGUAGAGAUCAGGCGGAAUACCGGUGGCGAAGGCGGCCCCCUGGACGAAGACUGACGCUCAGGUGCGAAAGCGUGGGUAGCAAACAGGAUUAGAUACCCGGGUAGUC